RNAcentral lists this ribosomal RNA (253 nucleotides) under uncultured bacterium. Its description in RNAcentral is "partial 16S ribosomal RNA". It matches the Rfam family "Bacterial small subunit ribosomal RNA", at positions 524 to 776 of the family's 1533-position model. The record is from RNAcentral.
UACAGAGGGGGCAAGCGUUAUUCGGAAUUAUUGGGCGUAAAGAGCGCGCAGGCGGUCGUUCAAGUCGCGUGUGAAAGCCCCCGGCUCAACUGGGGAGGGUCACGCGAUACUGAUCGACUCGAAGGCAGGAGAGGGAAGUGGAAUUCCCGGUGUAGUGGUGAAAUGCGUAGAUAUCGGGAGGAACACCAGUGGCGAAGGCGACUUCCUGGCCUGUUCUUGACGCUGAGGCGCGAAAGCUAGGGUAGCAAACGGG